UGGUCCACCAUUUGCACGAUAUCGUGUAAAUAGACGGUCCGCAAUGAUGGCGGCAGGUGCGAAGAGGAAAGGAGAAAUGGGAGAGGCCCCGGGUGCCAAAAGAACACCUGGUCACUGGAGUCAAGGUCUUUUAUCGUCCAUGGACGACCCAGAACUCAGAGUCGAUGCUGAUGAUAAAGUUGUAAUUAUCAAGGACAAGUACCCAAAGGCACUACAUCACUUCCUCAUUUUGCCCAAAGAGAAGAUUGCCAACUUAAAGAAGCUUAAGUCAGAACACAUACUCCUCCUUAAACACAUCCACAAGAAAGGAAUUGAGAUUGCAGAAAAAGCAGACAAAAACCUGCAGUUUAGGUUUGGCUAUCAUGCAGUCCCCAGCAUGAGCCACCUUCACAUGCAUGUGAUCAGCCAGGACUUUAACAGCCCCUUUCUCAAGACUAAGAAGCACUGGAACUCCUUCACUACGGAGUAUUUCAUUGAUUCCAAAGAUAUCCUAGAUCAGCUGGAAGAUAAGGGGAGAGUAGAGACAAAUACAACAGAGAAUGAACAACUGCUCAAGAGAGAGUUAAGGUGCACUGUGUUUCUCUGCACCUUGUGCAGUAGUUAUGACGGGUAGGCAUUCGCGGAAUUCAAAGCAUGCUUACCUUGAAAUCAAAAGGCUUGAGACAGCUGCCAAUCAUAACAGCAUGGAACCUAUCAGGACUGAUGCAAAGUGUCAUAACUACAAAACUCUGCGUGGGAAGACAGUAGUCCCAUUUUCAGCCAAAGUACAGAGAAUUGAAUGAAGCUCUAGAGACUUGGCUGCAAUGGAUGAUAAAAACUUUUGCAAGGUUGGAGAGCCAGGGAAUCCAAUCGCAGCGGUUGAACGUGGGAAAGCUGUGCUGGUGUCUGGAGGCAAGAA
Molecule: RNA transcript, 898 nt
Organism: Haliotis rufescens (red abalone)
Lineage: Eukaryota; Metazoa; Mollusca; Gastropoda; Lepetellida; Haliotidae
Gene name: aprataxin-like
Exons: 8
Source: RefSeq, a predicted model, not a curated record